RNAcentral lists this ribosomal RNA (460 nucleotides) under uncultured bacterium. RNAcentral's name for it is "partial 16S ribosomal RNA". It matches the Rfam family "Bacterial small subunit ribosomal RNA", at positions 338 to 795 of the family's 1533-position model. The record is from RNAcentral.
CCUACGGGGGGCAGCAGUGAGGAAUAUUGGUCAAUGGACGAGAGUCUGAACCAGCCAAGUAGCGUGAAGGAUGACUGCCCUAUGGGUUGUACACUUCUUUUAUAUGGGAAUAAAAUGUUCCACGUGUGGGAUUUUGUAUGUACCAUAUGAAUAAGGAUCGGCUAACUCCGUGCCAGCAGCCGCGGUCAUAAGGCGGAUCCGAGCGUUUUCCGGAUUUGUUGGGUUUAAAGGGAGCGUAGGUGGAUUGUUAAGUAAGUUGUGAAAGUUUGCGGCUCAACCGUAAAAUUGCAGUUGAAACUGGCAGUCUUGAGUACAGUAGAGGUGGGCGGAAUUCGUGGUGUAGCGGUGAAAUGCUUAGAUAUCACGAAGAACUCCGAUUGCGAAGGCAGCUCACUGGACUGCAACUGACACUGAGGCUCGAAAGUGUGGGUAUCAAACAGGAUUAGAUACCCGGGUAGUC